This 353-nucleotide ribosomal RNA is filed under the name uncultured bacterium. Its description in RNAcentral is "bacterial SSU rRNA". It matches the Rfam family "Bacterial small subunit ribosomal RNA", at positions 70 to 422 of the family's 1533-position model. The record is from RNAcentral.
CACAGGGGAGCUUGCUCCCUGGGUGGCGAGUGGCGGACGGGUGAGGAAUACAUGGGAAUCUACCCUGUCGUGGGGGAUAACGUAGGGAAACUUACGCUAAUACCGCAUACGACCGAGAGGUGAAAGCGGCGGACCGCAAGGCGUCGCGCGACUGGAUGAGCCCAUGUCGGAUUAGCUUGUUGGCGGGGUAACGGCCUACCAAGGCGACGAUCCGUAGCUGGUCUGAGAGGACGAUCAGCCACACUGGGACUGAGACACGGCCCAGACUCCUACGGGAGGCAGCAGUGGGGAAUAUUGGACAAUGGGGGCAACCCUGAUCCAGCAAUGCCGCGUGUGUGAAGAAGGCCUGCGGG